RNAcentral lists this long non-coding RNA (1460 nucleotides) under Numida meleagris (helmeted guineafowl). Its description in RNAcentral is "lncRNA (ENSNMEG00000000103.1)". The record is from RNAcentral. Lineage: Eukaryota; Metazoa; Chordata; Aves; Galliformes; Numididae.
CUAAGAAAUGUCAUUAGCUGAUGCAGAGGAAGCACCUCAGUAAAUACAUUGGGAUCCUUACCUGAUGCUCCUUACCACUGCUGACACAUACUGGCUACUUCAAGUUCAGUGCACAUACAUUAAUGAAUUCACAGUUGUUCGAGAUUGUUUGCCCAUUAGCUUCACUACCCCUCACUGCAGCAUUGAUGGUCUAUCCCGCCAAAACACAACACACAAUGUGUCAGCGAUCCUCCCUCCAGCCAAGGAUGGCUAGACACAGCUUGCCGUGGAGCCUGUCAACUCUGUGUAUCAGCCCCAGGGAAUCAAAUGAGAGCAGUGAAACGUGUUCUCUACCUCCAGUGUCUGUAGCCUCUGGCACCUACUGCAGAGGAGGUGUGGAGCCAAGCAUCCUCAGACCAGGGAAGACAUUCACCUUGCUGUCACCACAUCUUAGAUAUGUUUCACUCCAGGAGAAGAAAAGGCAGCAGAGACAACUCAGCAAGAAACCCUGUACAGAAAUGCUUGCCCCACAGAGUCCCUUAGGAGGACAGACUCCUCAGUCACACUGGGUUUUGUCACUCUCUGGCUCUAUGCCUUAUUCUCCCCUAGCCCUGUGCAGUGCCGUGCUUCCAGUAGGUGGCAGACGAUAGUUUGCAGGGCAUUUCAUCCUGAUUUUUCUGUACUACAGUGAAAGUCAAAACUCAGUUGUAACAGAGAACACUGCUUUCUACCCACACCUCCCACCUGAACAAAACUCUCUGCACCAGUGUUUGCUCUACUCCCACAUCACCUCCACACUCAUCUUCUCCACCGCUGGAGUGUGAAGCAUCCUCAGGAUGCCAGCAAGCCAUCUUCUUCGAGCACCCUUUUCUCUUCACAGAUGCUGUUUGCUAUUUGUCAUUCAAAACCACAAAAGCAGGCAGGGAGAUCAUCCUGGCUAACUGCACUCUGCCCCACUGGCUCUUGGCAUCUUUACUCUUGGCAAACAAUGAGAUGCUGACUGUGGUGGGGGGACGGGGCCCUGCUGCGGGAGUUAUACGGCAAUUAUAUCUAUGUCAGAAUAAUUCAGGCACACUUCAUUACUUCUGGUGCACCAUCGAUUUUACUGCAAUUAAAACCUGAAGCUUUCAGAAUUGGCUGAAAUGUCAAAUAUCAAUUAAAAAAAAAACCUCUAACAUUCACAAAAUGAAAAAUUUCUGGAGAUGUUUUAGCAAUGCUUCACUCCAUCCCAUUUUGAUAAUCAGCUCCAAUCAACUUCAAAUAUAAAUCUUCAUCUGAUAGUGUUAAAAUGUUGGCCAAAGUAGCUGGGAAUCAUGAACGCUUCAACCUUACUAGCUCAAUUCCUACAUGUUAGCCAAGGAGAAGUAGGUAUCCAGCUGCCAGUGCAGGCUCAAGGAUAACAUGGAAGUGUGAAAAACAUUGCUAUCAUAUGGGAGCCAACACAAGGUAAAAUUAAAAUAAAUAAUGGGAGAAGUCAGGCA